Molecule: ribosomal RNA, 991 nt
Filed under: uncultured bacterium
Lineage: Bacteria
Description: bacterial SSU rRNA
Rfam family: Bacterial small subunit ribosomal RNA
Source: RNAcentral
CGGAUUUAUUGGGCGUAAAGCGAGCGCAGGCGGUUUUUUAGGUCUGAUGUGAAAGCCUUCGGCUUAACCGGAGAAGUGCAUCGGAAACCGGGAGACUUGAGUGCAGAAGAGGACAGUGGAACUCCAUGUGUAGCGGUGAGAUGCGUAGAUAUAUGGAAGAACACCAGUGGCGAAGGCGGCUGUCUGGUCUGCAACUGACGCUGAGGCUCGAAAGCAUGGGUAGCGAACAGGAUUAGAUACCCUGGUAGUCCAUGCCGUAAACGAUGAGUGCUAAGUGUUGGAGGGUUUCCGCCCUUCAGUGCUGCAGCUAACGCAUUAAGCACUCCGCCUGGGGAGUACGACCGCAAGGUUGAAACUCAAAGGAAUUGACGGGGGCCCGCACAAGCGGUGGAGCAUGUGGUUUAAUUCGAUGCUACGCGAAGAACCUUACCAGGUCUUGACAUCUUCUGCUAACCUAAGAGAUUAGGCGUUCCCUUCGGGGACGGAAUGACAGGUGGUGCAUGGUUGUCGUCAGCUCGUGUCGUGAGAUGUUGGGUUAAGUCCCGCAACGAGCGCAACCCUUAUUGUCAGUUGCCAGCAUUCAGUUGGGCACUCUGGCGAGACUGCCGGUGACAAACCGGGGGAAGGUGGGGAUGACGUCAAAUCAUCAUGCCCCUUAUGACCUGGGCUACACAUGUGCUACAAUGGACGGUACAAGGAGUCGCGAAACCGCGAGGUCAAGCUAAUCUCUGAAAGCCGUUCUCAGUUCGGAUUGCAGGCUGCAACUCGCCUGCAUGAAGUUGGAAUCGCUAGUAAUCGUGGAUCAGCAUGCCACGGUGAAUACGUUCCCGGGCCUUGUACACACCGCCCGUCACACCAUGAGAGUUUGUAACACCCAAAGCCGGUGAGGUAACCUUCGGGGGCCAGCCGUCUAAGGUGGGACAGAUGAUUAGGGUGAAGUCGUAACAAGGUAGCCGUAGGAGAACCUGCGGCUGGAUCACCUCCUUUCUAA